This 347-nucleotide unclassified non-coding RNA is filed under the name soil metagenome. RNAcentral describes it as "partial contains 5.8S ribosomal RNA, internal transcribed spacer 2, and large subunit ribosomal RNA". The stretch from base 1 to 120 matches the Rfam family "5.8S ribosomal RNA", at positions 35 to 154 of the family's 154-position model. The record is from RNAcentral.
GAUGAAGAACGUAGCAAAAUGCGAUAAGUAAUGUGAAUUGCAGAAUUCAGUGAAUCAUCGAAUCUUUGAACGCACAUUGCGCCCGCUGGUAUUCCGGCGGGCAUGCCUGUUCGAGCGUCAUUUCAACCCUCAAGCCCCCCGGGUUUGGUGUUGGGGAUCGGCUCUGCCUCACGGCGGUGCCGCCCCCGAAAUACAUUGGCGGUCUCGCUGCAGCCUCCAUUGCGUAGUAGCUAACACCUCGCAACUGGAACGCGGCGCGGCCAUGCCGUAAAACCCCAACUUCUGAAUGUUGACCUCGGAUCAGGUAGGAAUACCCGCUGAAAUUAAGCAUAUCAAUAAGCGGAGGA